UAGCCCCACAAGCUCACUAACACGACCGUAUCCACCUCCCGGUACACGCAGCAGGCACCAACACGCAAGCAAACGCGCAUUCGUCUUCCACAGGCCCACACUUCGAGAAAGGCGAGAGGACGCAGCCAGCUCUGUUCUUUGAGCAACCAGCGGCCGAGAACGAGAGAUAAGGGCGCCCAGUGCGCGCCUGUGUGUGAAGCACAGCCCUCCAGCGCUCCGUCAGUGCACCGCUAGCGGUCUUUACAUCUAUAUGCCCGUAGGCCUCCACGUGCCAUUUCGGUAAGUUGGAUCGAUCGACGUCCUCACUCGCGGGCUCACUCCUUUUGUGCCGCCGCCCUCCUCCCCCCGCUUUGCGUGAGCCUCACUGUUUUUUUUUUUUUUUGUGCGUGUGUGCGUGGGCCUCCAUCUCCUCAUCACAGUCGUCUCCCGCGUUGCUGUAACGCGUGAAACUGGCAUUCCCUUGCCUUUUUUUUCAUACCGUGACGACGUGUUCUUUGCCUUCUUGCCGGCCUGCCUGCUCGCCAUUUCCAUUCUGACGUGCCACGUAUCCCUCUGUGCGCUUCAUCGGCUCCGCUUCGCUUUUUCGUGUCCUUUUUCUGCACGGAGUCGCUCUCUCUCGUUCCGCCGUUCUCCCUUUCGACAUCCAAAAUUGGUCGUCCGUCGCCAGGAUGCGCGUAAUCGAGAGCCAGAAGGAGGUGUUGCACACCCUCCGCCACCCUUCGCAGCACUCCGCGACAGACCGCAAGAGGGCCUACAUGUUUCUGUUUGUAUACGUUCUCAGCGCUAUCGCGUUCGGCGGGAAUCUCCUCCACUUUAUCAGCGGCUGGAUCGCCGCCACGGUUCUGCAGGUCGUCAUGACCAUCUUGAUAAUGAUAUAUGCCUUCAACAUCAACGACUACAGUGACAAGAGCAUGAGCUCGAUGGAGUGUGAGCGGGCCUGCAACCCGCUGCUCGAUGCCUACAUCGCGCUGCGCGCGGUGCAGCUGAUCCAGGCGCUCUUCUUGCGCAGUUUUGUGUGCACGUUCCUCUUUGCCACGGUGCUUAUCGUAACUCUCUUCCGCGUACGACAGAGGAAGCUGUACGUCGACGCCGUAAAUCUAUGGCGCGAAGUAUCGCAGUACGAGCGGGAAGGCUUCAUCUUCAUAGGUGUUGAUGUGGUUAUGAUUAUUGUACUGAUGCUUUCCAUGGUGUUCUCCAUAGUCACGAAUUACGGUGGCUAAAGUGCCACUGCAACUUACCAGAAGCAUGCAUUCAAGGUGCGGGGGAUGUUGCUAGAAAUGUAAUUUUUUUUUUUCGCGUGCAGUCUCUCUCUCGCUCGCUUGCUUUCUAACGUCGCAUGCGCACGCGCGUCUGGGGCUCGCCAUGCGAAAAGCCUGGCAAGAGGAGUCGCAUGCCGCGGCAGAGGACGCGCUGGGGAGCGGCUGCCUUGUCAGCGUGUUCGUCUCUCUGAGCGCGCGUGAUGAGGAAGGAGUGCACUUAGUGGCGAGGGAGAUACCACGAGCGUCGCCGGCGCUUGUGGCUUUAGAUAUCGAACUCCUAGAAAGGAACGGAGGGAGCGAGAGGGCUGCGGUGGUGGAGGGUGGGCAUCGUGCAGCCACGCGCGGCAGCAGAGUUCGGACUGUUGGUGGGCUGUUUUGAGUGGCUCUUAUUGUUUCUGUUUUAGACGAGCCUGUUACUAAGACCCGUUGUGUAUCUCUUUCUCUCGCUUGUUUCGCUGUUCUUGAGGUGGCGCCUGCCGCUUGGGGUAUGUGGAAUGUGUUUGUGCGUCCUCGUGUUGUGGACGCCUGCAGCAAGCGGUAUCAACACG
This 1807-nucleotide unclassified non-coding RNA is filed under the name Leishmania donovani. Its description in RNAcentral is "gene:LdHU3.32.5110(CDS-product:hypothetical_prote in_conserved)". The record is from RNAcentral. Lineage: Eukaryota; Euglenozoa; Kinetoplastea; Trypanosomatida; Trypanosomatidae.